GGGAUUAGUGGCGAACGGGUGAGUAACACGUGAGUAACCUGCCCUUGACUCUGGGAUAAGCCUGGGAAACUGGGUCUAAUACCGGAUAUGACCUUCCAUCGCAUGGUGGUUGGUGGAAAGCUUUUGUGGUUUUGGAUGGACUCGCGGCCUAUCAGCUUGUUGGUGGGGUAAUGGCCUACCAAGGCGACGACGGGUAGCCGGCCUGAGAGGGUGACCGGCCACACUGGGACUGAGACACGGCCCAGACUCCUACGGGAGGCAGCAGUGGGGAAUAUUGCACAAUGGGCGCAAGCCUGAUGCAGCGACGCCGCGUGAGGGAUGACGGCCUUCGGGUUGUAAACCUCUUUCAGUAGGGAAGAAGCGAAAGUGACGGUACCUGCAGAAGAAGCGCCGGCUAACUACGUGCCAGCAGCCGCGGUAAUACGUAGGGCGCAAGCGUUAUCCGGAAUUAUUGGGCGUAAAGAGCUCGUAGGCGGUUUGUCGCGUCUGCCGUGAAAGUCCGGGGCUCAACUCCGGAUCUGCGGUGGGUACGGGCAGACUAGAGUGAUGUAGGGGAGACUGGAAUUCCUGGUGUAGCGGUGAAAUGCGCAGAUAUCAGGAGGAACACCGAUGGCGAAGGCAGGUCUCUGGGCAUUAACUGACGCUGAGGAGCGAAAGCAUGGGGAGCGAACAGGAUUAGAUACCCUGGUAGU
Molecule: ribosomal RNA, 692 nt
Filed under: Pseudarthrobacter sp.
Lineage: Bacteria; Bacillati; Actinomycetota; Actinomycetes; Micrococcales; Micrococcaceae
Description: bacterial SSU rRNA
Rfam family: Bacterial small subunit ribosomal RNA
Source: RNAcentral